UACGAAGGGGGCUAGCGUUGCUCGGAAUCACUGGGCGUAAAGGGUGCGUAGGCGGGUCCUUAAGUCAGGGGUGAAAUCCUGGAGCUCAACUCCAGAACUGCCUUUGAUACUGAGGACCUUGAGUUCGGGAGAGGUGAGUGGAACUGCGAGUGUAGAGGUGAAAUUCGUAGAUAUUCGCAAGAACACCAGUGGCGAAGGCGGCUCACUGGCCCGAUACUGACGCUGAGGUGCGAAAGCGUGGGGAGCAAACAGG
This 253-nucleotide ribosomal RNA is filed under the name uncultured bacterium. RNAcentral's name for it is "partial 16S ribosomal RNA". It matches the Rfam family "Bacterial small subunit ribosomal RNA", at positions 524 to 776 of the family's 1533-position model. The record is from RNAcentral.